This 266-nucleotide long non-coding RNA is filed under the name Coccomyxa subellipsoidea. RNAcentral describes it as "long non-coding RNA (CSUB_LNC000178)". The record is from RNAcentral. Lineage: Eukaryota; Viridiplantae; Chlorophyta; Trebouxiophyceae; Coccomyxaceae.
UCCUGUCGGACCACAGCAGAGGACAAGGCAACCAAAUAAUCGUUGAAAGCUCUGCUCAUCACUAACCCUUAUCCACGACGCCUUGCCGGCAUGCACAGCGGUCAAGCUCAAUAGCAUAAAUGUUUUGAAGUUGUACCAGAUUCAGCAAUGUCUCCCAAUCACGUAAAAGGAUACGGUCGUUUCACACUUCUUUCACGAGGGAUGGAUGUUCUACAGCUCUAUUACAAGUUGGCCCUCUGUUGCAUGCAAUCAAUAUUGACACAAUG